CCGUAGGUGAACCUGCGGAGGGAUCAUUACCGAGUUUACAACUCCCAAACCCCUGUGAACAUACCUAUACGUUGCCUCGGCGGAUCAGCCCGCGCCCCGUAAAACGGGACGGCCCGCCCGAGGACCCCUAAACUCUGUUUUUAGUGGAACUUCUGAGUAAAACAAACAAAUAAAUCAAAACUUUCAACAACGGAUCUCUUGGUUCUGGCAUCGAUGAAGAACGCAGCAAAAUGCGAUAAGUAAUGUGAAUUGCAGAAUUCAGUGAAUCAUCGAAUCUUUGAACGCACAUUGCGCCCGCCAGUAUUCUGGCGGGCAUGCCUGUUCGAGCGUCAUUUCAACCCUCAAGCUCAGCUUGGUGUUGGGACUCGCGGUAACCCGCGUUCCCCAAAUCGAUUGGCGGUCACGUCGAGCUUCCAUAGCGUAGUAAUCAUACACCUCGUUACUGGUAAUCGUCGCGGCCACGCCGUAAAACCCCAACUUCUGAAUGUUGACCUCGGAUCAGGUAGGAAUACCCGCUGAACUUAAGCAUAUCAAUAAGCGGAGGA
RNAcentral lists this ribosomal RNA (545 nucleotides) under Fusarium equiseti. RNAcentral describes it as "eukaryotic LSU rRNA". The stretch from base 179 to 332 matches the Rfam family "5.8S ribosomal RNA". The record is from RNAcentral. Lineage: Eukaryota; Fungi; Ascomycota; Sordariomycetes; Hypocreales; Nectriaceae.